ACCAACAAAUGCUCCAUGUUGAAUACACCAGUUCCCGUCCGAUCACUGAUGUUAAGCAACGUUGGGCGUGGUGACUUGUGUGGGUGACCGUCUCGGAGAUCACGUGUUUUUGGUU
RNAcentral lists this ribosomal RNA (115 nucleotides) under Olea europaea subsp. europaea. Lineage: Eukaryota; Viridiplantae; Streptophyta; Magnoliopsida; Lamiales; Oleaceae. The record is from RNAcentral.